CUUGAUCGCGCCCAACAGCAACGGCGUCUCGCGGUCCCGGCCGUAGGUCGCCAGCAACGCCUGCGCCUC
This 69-nucleotide antisense RNA is filed under the name Actinophytocola xinjiangensis. Its description in RNAcentral is "Actinophytocola sp. QAIII60 ASpks TB sRNA". It matches the Rfam family "ASpks TB sRNA". The record is from Rfam by way of RNAcentral. Lineage: Bacteria; Bacillati; Actinomycetota; Actinomycetes; Pseudonocardiales; Pseudonocardiaceae.